This 539-nucleotide ribosomal RNA is filed under the name Cladosporium iridis. Its description in RNAcentral is "eukaryotic LSU rRNA". The stretch from base 187 to 340 matches the Rfam family "5.8S ribosomal RNA". Lineage: Eukaryota; Fungi; Ascomycota; Dothideomycetes; Cladosporiales; Cladosporiaceae. The record is from RNAcentral.
UGUCUCGUAGUGACCUGCGGAGGGAUCAUUACAAGAACGCCCGGGCUUCGGCCUGGUUAUUCAUAACCCUUUGUUGUCCGACUCUGUUGCCUCCGGGGCGACCCUGCCUUCGGGCGGGGGCUCCGGGUGGACACUUCAAACUCUUGCGUAACUUUGCAGUCUGAGUAAACUUAAUUAAUAAAUUAAAACUUUUAACAACGGAUCUCUUGGUUCUGGCAUCGAUGAAGAACGCAGCGAAAUGCGAUAAGUAAUGUGAAUUGCAGAAUUCAGUGAAUCAUCGAAUCUUUGAACGCACAUUGCGCCCCCUGGUAUUCCGGGGGGCAUGCCUGUUCGAGCGUCAUUUCACCACUCAAGCCUCGCUUGGUAUUGGGCAACGCGGUCCGCCGCGUGCCUCAAAUCGUCCGGCUGGGUCUUCUGUCCCCUAAGCGUUGUGGAAACUAUUCGCUAAAGGGUGUUCGGGAGGCUACGCCGUAAAACAACCCCAUUUCUAAGGUUGACCUCGGAUCAGGUAGGGAUACCCGCUGAACUUAAGCAUAUCU